Molecule: long non-coding RNA, 272 nt
Organism: Hippocampus zosterae (dwarf seahorse)
Lineage: Eukaryota; Metazoa; Chordata; Actinopteri; Syngnathiformes; Syngnathidae
Exons: 2
Source: RefSeq, a predicted model, not a curated record
ACGCACACACACAAAGAGUUGCCUUGAGAAAUCAACUGCCGUUUUACUGCUUUGCCAGCCUCCCACCACCCGAGGGCGCUAGAACGAGUCCAGCGCUGACUUCAUCUACAAAAAGGAGGGGGCAGACGUAUUUAUUUGAGGGUGGUCUUUCAAUUUUCUUGGUCAACUACCGCAAAGCCCUUUUUCUUUCUCGGACCAAACUAGAGCUCGAAUGAUUUAUUAGCUGGCCGGUAUUAGUGCUUUUCAAAUUGAUACUACCAACCCCACCUAAA